RNAcentral lists this ribosomal RNA (496 nucleotides) under uncultured bacterium. RNAcentral's name for it is "partial 16S ribosomal RNA". It matches the Rfam family "Bacterial small subunit ribosomal RNA", at positions 28 to 507 of the family's 1533-position model. The record is from RNAcentral.
GACGAACGCUGGCGGCGUGCCUAAUACAUGCUAGUAGAACGCUGAAGAGAGGAGCUUGCUCUUCUUGGAUGAGUUGCGGACGGGUGAGUAACGCGUAGGUCACCUGCCUGGUAGCGGGGGAUAACUAUUGGAAACGAUAGCUAAUACCGCAUAAAAUUGAUUAUUGCAUGAUACUUAAUUGAAAGAUGCAACUGCAUCACUACCCGAUGGACCUGCGUUGUAUUAGCUAGUUGGUGAGGUAACGGCUCACCAAGGCGACGAUACAUAGCCGACCUGAGAGGGUGAUCGGCCACACUGGAACUGAGACACGGCCCAGAAUCCGACGAGAGGCAGCAGUAGGGAAUCUUCGGCAAUGGGGGAACCCUGACCGAGCAACGCCGCGGGAGUGAAGAAGGUUUUCGGAUCGGAAAGCUCUGUUGUAAGAGAAGAACGGGUGUGAGAGUGGAAAGUUCACACUGUGACGGUAGCUAAACAGAAAGGGACGGCUAACUACGUG